Apis mellifera (honey bee) is the source of this 717-nucleotide long non-coding RNA. RefSeq lists it as uncharacterized. Lineage: Eukaryota; Metazoa; Arthropoda; Insecta; Hymenoptera; Apidae. The record is from RefSeq and is a predicted model, not a curated record. The transcript has 3 exons.
UAUAUAUUUAUCCGUUUGUUUCGUUCAAUUCUCGAAUUUUGGACGGGAAGGAGACAAGAGGUAAUCUCUCGCGUCGAAGAUUACACGUAUAAUAGAAGUGAAUUCGAUCGAAAGUUUUCUCGGUUGCAAAUUAAUCUAACCUAACAUCGAGCCAGACACGUCACAAGGCAAGAGGUUAAGUGGAUAUAUAGUUAUACUUUGCAAUGAGAAUUUGAAGGCAUGACGAGGCAGGAUGAACAAACGCGGAUGCAAAAGAAGUCUCUGAAUGAGCGAUGCCUACGGACAGUAUGGAGCUUCUCCAGUUAUUAGCAUCUACUCCGGCUAUCCUUGUGUAUAUACGUAUCCGUGUGGCGCGCGCACAAGCCCGAAAGGGAACAGAGCGGUCAUUAUGGAGAUUGAAACACCGUUCGAAAAAACUUCGACUCGAAUGGAACCAAACUCACCUCUCCAAAUCUAAUUCAAUACCACUGGUACAUCUUGGAAAAAAUUUUCGAGUCGAAUCGAAUUAAAAAUUCGAAAAUUAAGAGAAGAAAAAGAAGAAACUAAAAUAAUUAAUAUACUUUAAUAUAUUUAUAUUAUUAAUUAUCAUUAAUAUACUUUAAAAAAAGUUUCCAUUCGAAUGGAACCAAAUUCACCUCUCCAAAUCUAAUUCAAUACCACUAAUAUACCUUGAAAAAAAUUUUCGAAUCGAAUCGAAUGAAAAAUUCGAAGAAGAAA